GACGAACGCUGGCGGCGUGCUUAACACAUGCAAGUCGAACGGUGAACUCCGCUUGCGGGGGGAUCAGUGGCGAACGGGUGAGUAACACGUGGGCAACCUGCCCUCAGCUCUGGGAUAACUCCAAGAAAUUGGGGCUAAUACCGGAUAUGACCGCUGACCGCAUGGUCUGGUGGUGGAAAGAUUUAUCGGCUGGGGAUGGGCCCGCGGCCUAUCAGCUUGUUGGUGGGGUAGUGGCCACCAAGGCGACGACGGGUAGCCGGCCUGAGAGGGUGACCGGCCACACUGGGACUGAGACACGGCCCAGACUCCUACGGGAGGCAGCAGUGGGGAAUAUUGCGCAAUGGGCGAAAGCCUGACGCAGCGACGCCGCGUGGGGGAUGACGGCCUUCGGGUUGUAAACCUCUUUCAGCAGGGACGAAGCGAAAGUGACGGUACCUGCAGAAGAAGCACCGGCCAACUACGUG
RNAcentral lists this ribosomal RNA (464 nucleotides) under uncultured bacterium. RNAcentral's name for it is "partial 16S ribosomal RNA". It matches the Rfam family "Bacterial small subunit ribosomal RNA", at positions 28 to 507 of the family's 1533-position model. The record is from RNAcentral.